UCUUCAAACAUCUGAGGGGUGUUUCAAUUUCGAAAUAAUUGUUGUCGAUGAUGGGAGUCCUGAUGGUACUCAAGAAGUCGUAAAACAGUUGCAGCAAGUGUAUGGAAAAGAUCGUAUUCUAUUAAGAGCCAGACCAAAGAAACUUGGUUUAGGUUUGUGCCUUUUCUUUUCUGCUUUAACAUUUACAUUAUGAAUUAGGAAAUUAUGUAUUCUCUUGAUUCAAUUUCAGGAACUGCUUACAUUUAUGGUCUGAAGCAUGCAUCGAGGAAUUUUAUUGUUAUCAUGGAUGGUGAUCUAUCCCACCAU
Long non-coding RNA from Telopea speciosissima, 306 nucleotides. RefSeq lists it as uncharacterized. The record is from RefSeq and is a predicted model, not a curated record. Lineage: Eukaryota; Viridiplantae; Streptophyta; Magnoliopsida; Proteales; Proteaceae. The transcript has 3 exons.